UGAGGAUUAGCUUAAUUUGGACAAGAGCACUAGAUUUUUAAUCUAGAGACACAGGUUCGAAUCCUGUAUUCUCAA
This 75-nucleotide transfer RNA is filed under the name Finegoldia magna. RNAcentral's name for it is "tRNA-Lys". It matches the Rfam family "tRNA". Rfam says of the family: Transfer RNA (tRNA) molecules are approximately 80 nucleotides in length. Their secondary structure includes four short double-helical elements and three loops (D, anti-codon, and T loops). Further hydrogen bonds mediate the characteristic L-shaped molecular structure. tRNAs have two regions of fundamental functional importance: the anti-codon, which is responsible for specific mRNA codon recognition, and the 3' end, to which the tRNAs corresponding amino acid is attached (by aminoacyl-tRNA synthetases). tRNAs cope with the degeneracy of the genetic code in two manners: having more than one tRNA (with a specific anti-codon) for a particular amino acid; and 'wobble' base-pairing, i.e. permitting non-standard base-pairing at the 3rd anti-codon position. RNAcentral also lists the same sequence under 5 other names. The record is from RNAcentral. Lineage: Bacteria; Bacillati; Bacillota; Tissierellia; Tissierellales; Peptoniphilaceae.